UCGGGGGCUGGCUGAUGCUGGAUAGCGCCUUGCUUAUUACUAGAUUGGGCUCGACAUACAAUGGGUUGAGCUUGGCUGGCAGCGAGCGGGGCUUGGAGCGCCUGCCUGUGGGCUGCUUUUGCUGGCUGGGCUGGCUCUGCUAAGCUCCCGUGGGCCUGGACCUACGGUGUAGCUUGGUUGGCUGUUGUAGUGGGUUGGGCCUACUGUGGCAGUUGCCAAGCCUUGGACUUCCUGCUCAUAGGCCAAUGAGUGGACCUGGGCCUCCUGCCCAGGAUUUUAAAAGUCUGUGCGCUGCAAGGGCAGUGACGUAUGAACUUGGGUUAUG
RNAcentral lists this long non-coding RNA (325 nucleotides) under Malus domestica (apple). RNAcentral's name for it is "long non-coding RNA (MDOM_LNC010334)". Lineage: Eukaryota; Viridiplantae; Streptophyta; Magnoliopsida; Rosales; Rosaceae. The record is from RNAcentral.